Molecule: small nuclear RNA, 124 nt
Organism: Ochotona princeps (American pika)
Lineage: Eukaryota; Metazoa; Chordata; Mammalia; Lagomorpha; Ochotonidae
Source: Ensembl
ACCAUCCUUGGGGUUGCGCUACUGUCCACUGAACGUCCAGUGAGGACAGUACAGGUAACGCCUACACCACACGUCCCCGCCAGCUACAGCACUACCUUAGCUUGUUGCCAACAUUUUUGAAUAA